Molecule: long non-coding RNA, 3103 nt
Filed under: Homo sapiens (human)
Lineage: Eukaryota; Metazoa; Chordata; Mammalia; Primates; Hominidae
Description: HSALNT0346788
Source: RNAcentral
CACACGUAUACAUAUAUACACACAUCUACACUGUAUUGAUAUGUUGAUAUAUUGAUGUUAUGAAUUAUUUUAAAGAGUAUUCUAUUGAUGUAGAGGAUAAUAUGAAAUUCAAUAUUUUCUGGCACUCUUUUUAAAUGAUACUUAGGCCAUCUGAUGAAAACAGAGCUCAGUAAAGAUUUCUUAUUGAUAAAUCAACAUUACAAAUGAAGACUAGUUUCAUUGCCAUGAUCAGUAAAUUAAGGGUCAUAAAUUAACUGUUGAGUUAUUUUCUUUGCACUAUUAAGCCUUCCACUCAAUCUUUCUACAGUCUUUCUUAUUUAGCAAACGGUGUUACUUGAUAGAAACCUCUGCUGUGAUUUUGUUUUUUGAAAUUUAAUAAGAAAGCUAUAUAAUACAAUUCUCGGGGGAAAACAAGCAAGGUAGGUUUUUCACGGUAACCUCCAAGCAGAGAAAUGGUUUCAGUGCGCAGUCCAGUGAAUUUCCUCCAUAGAGUGUGCUGGAAGAAGUCACCUGGAAGUGAUCACCAGAGUGAUAUUCAGUUUGACUCUCAUUGGGUUUCACAGAGCCAAGCAGAAAAGGAGCACAGGUGACCUUGGCAGGAAGGCAUGCAUGGGAGAGCAGGUCUGCACUCUGGGACACCAGCCUCAACAGAAUACGAGUUUUGAAUUUUUGAAUUGCUGUUAAAACUUUCAUCAUGAACACUGAAGUGAGUGAAAAGAGACUUUUGCAGUCAUUUUUUUGCUGGCUGCAGAUGACAGUGACACCCUGGGAGUUGAGAAAUGCUUGUAAGAUGGAAGGAGGCUGUGUCCCUGAAUGAUCACCUGGAAGAGAGCCACCUUAGCCAAUGAAACUCCUGCUAUGAAUGUUUGCUGAGCAAGAAAUAUACUUACUGCUUUAUAUGCCUUUGAAGCUAUAGGUUCAUAUUGUUACCACAAUUUAAAGUGCUAUAAUAAAAAGAGUUCAGGAAGCAGGCACAUGGAAGCAAUAAGAGCAACAAACAUUUACACAGUUCUCAGGUCCCUGGACCAUGAAGGGCCACAUCCAAGGAGCUACCCCAGGAGGCCUCUCAUUUGCAUUUGUCCCCGCUAAUGCAGGACAGAGAUCAUGGAAGUUGGGCCCGACUGGAUGAGAUUUGGGGGUCUUUGGAAGUGGAGAAUGUGUUUGCCCUGGGGAAGAGAGGUGAUGUCUAGGAGACCUCUUCACUCAGGGCAAGCUCUAUGACCUGCUUUGACUCCAGAAUGUGGUAGAAGUGGCAUCACAUAAAUUGCAGAGCCUAGGCUUCAAGAGACCUUGCAACUUGCCUCUCACUGACUUGAAGUGCUCCCAUCAGAGCAUCUUGUAAGGAGCAGGUGGAGCAUGUGGACAAGCCAUCCCCACCAGCCCCUGAGACAUGUGAGAGAGGCCAGAACAGGCCAUCCGGACCCCACUGUGCUGGUGGAUGAGACAGCAGAAGGAAUAUCAACCUACCAACAGAAUCCUGAGAAAUGCUCACUCUUACUUCAAGCUGCUGCAUUUUGAUGUUAUGAAACCAUAAAUAACUUAUGAAGUCAUCUUUGCUGACUUAAAGUUUUCCAUAACUUUAUUAUAACAUAUCAAAAUUAUGAAAAAUGUGAAAAGUAGAAAACUGAUGAAUUUUGCUUCUUCAUAUGGUCUUUAAGAAUCUCAAAGGCACUGAAGUUUUUUAUCUUUUCUGUCUUAGAAUAAAAAACCUUGAAUGAAAAUCUGCUUCUUGGAAAAGCAGCAAGGUUUAUGCAGAGGCAAUCUGGUAUUUGUGUGCACUGGCAGCUGAUCAUACCCAGCAUGCACGCACUCUCAGGGCAGAGUCUGAUGCCCCACAUAAUGGGGCAUGGUAAGGACUCCCAUGUCCUUGAGAUAAAAUGAUAAGGAAAAUACACACUGCUAUUAGAAUAACAGGCCCAGCUUCUGCACAUUUUAAUUCCCAAAGUUUUCAUGAAAGACAAUGAUUUUUUGGUACCAUGUUUAACUCUACAAGAAUCAGUAGUGAAAACUAAAAAUGAUACUUUGUGAAAGUUCAUUAAUUUUGUUUUCAGCCAGUGGUGGCCUUGGUCAGAUAGAAUCAAAUCUAUGAUACUUUUUAUCAGAAAUGCUUAUACUGUGUACAAACCCAAAGUGAUGGCUUUCAAAGAUUGAAUUUGAUUAUUUUCUGUAUGGUGCAGAUGAAAAAUUACUACACAGGAGAAGGUGGGUUGGAGGUGCUCACGAGUAACCAGGAAACAGUCUGAAGUUUUUCUGAUACUUCUCCUUGGUCCAACCAAAUGUGAGAUAUAAACACAAACUUGGGAUUCCGUUCUUAUGUUUUGGUUGUUUCAGUCUUUACAGAUGUAUCGAAAGGCUGUCCAAAAAUGUCUGACUUCUGUAGUGUGCCUUCGUAGCACUAGAGGGUUCUGCAGCUGUGAAACUGAAGGCAUUGGCAAGAAGCCCUCCAUCUUCAAACCACUUUCUGCUAAGGUGUGGCUCUAUAAAACCACUAUGAGCUGGGCUUCACUGAGACUGAGUUGUUUCAGUAGGAUCUUCCGGAAAAACAUGUUCCCUCCUUUACCUGGGUUGUCAUUCUGAGAACAAUCACACCUCCAAUUUUGGCUUACUAAGCAAUAGCGUUUUAAUGAUUUUAAGCCAGGAUUUGCUCCUCCUUUCCUCAGUAUGAGAGCUUAACCACUGGAGGAACCAAGAAUUCAUGCUGGUUGGGUUCUGAUUCCACUUUAACUUACUGUAUAGCCUCAUCCCUUGUUUUUCUGGAGAUUCUCUUUUUCUGCUUCACUGAUUUAUAUUUACAUUAAAAUCAAAUGAGGCCAUGUUUCUGAAAUCACAUUGUCCCUACAUGGUCAUUACAAUGAGUCUGUAAUGUGACUGAAAGACAGCCAUGGAUACAGGUAGAGGAUAUCAGGCAAUUGAAUGCUCAUCAAGCAUUCAAUUCAGGGCAAAUGGCAUAAGGUAUGCAGUUGGCCUCUUCUGAUAUCUGUGUCUUAAUCCUUUCUUUAGCCUCUGUUUUCUGGACCAAGGCUAAGAUAUUUUCUGGGCACAGUGGCUCAUGCCUAUAAUCCCAGCACUCUGGGAGGCCAAGGUGGGAGGAUUUCUUCAGCCC